Long non-coding RNA from Physella acuta, 302 nucleotides. RefSeq lists it as uncharacterized. The record is from RefSeq and is a predicted model, not a curated record. NCBI's taxonomy places the organism in Eukaryota, Metazoa, Mollusca, Gastropoda, Physidae.
GCUGGAACCAGGUUCGUGUUCGUGGGUAUCGGAUACGAUAUUUCCUACGAGCUUUUGGAAACACUAACCCACAGGCCAGGGGACAUAAUUUUGUUGAAUAGUGUCAAGGACAAUGCCUGGUUUCCACAGAAAUUCUUAGCUAGCAAUCUCUGUACAGUAUCUAAAAAGAAAAAGAAAUCUUAAAGGUCGAGAUGGAUGUUCUUCUUUGAAGGAAACAUUUACAUCGGAAAUUACUUUGUAUUUGAAAAUAAAUAUUUAGAACAAUAUGUCAUCACCGCUUAAUAAACAUAAGUGCAAAACUG